UGCGCAGGCGGGCCUGUAAGUCAGGGGUGAAAUACCACGGCCUAACCGUGGAACUGCCUUUGAUACUGCAGGUCUUGAGUCCUGGAGAGGUCGCCGGAAUUCGUGGUGUAGCGGUGAAAUGCGUAGAUAUCACGAGGAACGCCGGAGGUGUAGACGGGUGACUGGACAGGAACUGACGCUCAGGCACGAAAGCGUGGGGAGCAAACAGGAUUAGAUACCCUGGUAGUCC
Molecule: ribosomal RNA, 229 nt
Filed under: uncultured bacterium
Lineage: Bacteria
Description: partial 16S ribosomal RNA
Rfam family: Bacterial small subunit ribosomal RNA
Source: RNAcentral